CGGUGAAUAGCGCAGCUUGGUAGCGCAUCUGGUUUGGGACCAGAGGGGCGGGGGUUCGAAUCCCUCUUCACCGACCA
This 77-nucleotide transfer RNA is filed under the name Vibrio parahaemolyticus. RNAcentral's name for it is "tRNA-Pro". It matches the Rfam family "tRNA". From Rfam's summary of the family: Transfer RNA (tRNA) molecules are approximately 80 nucleotides in length. Their secondary structure includes four short double-helical elements and three loops (D, anti-codon, and T loops). The record is from RNAcentral. Lineage: Bacteria; Pseudomonadati; Pseudomonadota; Gammaproteobacteria; Vibrionales; Vibrionaceae.